UUAUGGUUGCCCCGGUCGUAAGGGACUGCAAAUGAGCGGGAAGUGAAUUUGGAAGAAGGCGAGAAAAGCUGUGUGAAUAGAAGAUAGAGCCCGUACCGCAAACCGACACAGGUAGAUAGGAAGAAGAUUCUAAGGCCAACGGGAGAAGGGUUGUUAAGGAACUCGGCAAGUUGACCCCGUAACUUAGGGAGAAGGGGUGCUCUUUAAGGAGAGCCGCAGAGAAUAGGCCCAAGCGACUGUUUAGCAAAAACACAGCUCUAUGCUAAAUCGAAAGAUGACGUAUAUGGGGUGACACCUGCCCGGUGCCGGAAGGUUAAGAGGAGGAGUGAGAGCUCUGAAUUGAAGCCCCGGUAAAACGGCGGCCGUAACAAUAACGGUCCUAAGGUAGCGAAAUUCCUUGUCAGGUAAGUUCUGACCCGCACGAAUGGUGUAACGAUUUGGGCACUGUCUCAACAACCUGCCCGGCGAAAUUGUAGUACCGGUGAAGAUGCCGGUUACCCGCGACUAGACGGAAAGACCCCAUGGAGCUUUACUGCAGCUUAAUAUUGAAUUUCGGUAUUUCAUGUACAGGAUAGGUGGGAGACAGGGAACCAUAGGCGUCAGCUUAUGGGGAGUCGACCUAGGGAUACCACUCUUGAGGUGCUGGAAUUCUAACCUGUGGCUCUGAAUCGAGUCAGGGGACAUUGUUAGGCGGGCAGUUUGACUGGGGCGGUCGCCUCCAAAAAGGUAACGGAGGCGCUCAAAGGUUCGCUCAGCAUGGAUGGAAACCAUGCUUUUGAGUGUAAACGCAAAAGCGAGCCUAACUGCGAGACUGACGGGUCGAGCAGUAACGAAAGUUGGAGUUAGUGAUCCGGCGGUAUGUGAGUGGAAAUGCCGUCGCUCAACGGAUAAAAGCUACCCUGGGGAUAACAGGCUGAUCUCCCCCAAGAGUCCACAUCGACGGGGAGGUUUGGCACCUCGAUGUCGGCUCAUCGCAUCCUGGGGCUGAAUUCGGUCCCAAGGGUUUGGCUGUUCGCCAAUUAAAGCGGUACGCGAGCUGGGUUCAGAACGUCGUGAGACAGUUCGGUCCCUAUCUGUCGUGGGCGUAGGAUAUUUGAAAGGAGCUGUCCCUAGUACGAGAGGACCGGGAUGGACGCACCGCUGGUGCACCAGUUGUCAUGCCAAUGGCACAGCUGGGCAGCUAUGUGCGGAACGGAUAAACGCUGAAGGCAUCUAAGCGUGAAGCCGACCUUAAGAUAAGAUAUCCCUUCGUAAGAGUAAGACCUCUCAUAGACUAUGAGUUUGAUAGGCCUAAGGUGUAAGCACAGUGAUGUGUUCAGCCUGCAGGUACUAAUCGGUCGAGGGCUUUUCCAA
This 1353-nucleotide ribosomal RNA is filed under the name metagenome. RNAcentral describes it as "bacterial LSU rRNA". It matches the Rfam family "Bacterial large subunit ribosomal RNA", at positions 1546 to 2925 of the family's 2925-position model. The record is from RNAcentral.